ACGUAGGGUGCGAGCGUUGUCCGGAAUUAUUGGGCGUAAAGGGCUCGUAGGCGGUUUGUUGCGUCGGGAGUGAAAACACCGGGCUUAACUCGGUGCUUGCUUUCGAUACGGGCAGACUAGAGGCAUGCAGGGGAGAAUGGAAUUCCUGGUGUAGCGGUGAAAUGCGCAGAUAUCAGGAGGAACACCGGUGGCGAAGGCGGUUCUCUGGGCAUGUUCUGACGCUGAGGAGCGAAAGUGUGGGGAGCGAACAGGAUUAGAUACCCUGGUAGUCCACACCGUAAACGUUGGGCGCUAGGUGUGGGAUCCAUUCCACGGGUUCCGUGCCGUAGCUAACGCAUUAAGCGCCCCGCCUGGGGAGUACGGCCGCAAGGCUA
RNAcentral lists this ribosomal RNA (374 nucleotides) under uncultured bacterium. Its description in RNAcentral is "bacterial SSU rRNA". It matches the Rfam family "Bacterial small subunit ribosomal RNA", at positions 525 to 896 of the family's 1533-position model. The record is from RNAcentral.